GAUGAACGCUAGCGGGAGGCUUAACACAUGCAAGUCGAGCGGGAUUGGUAGCAAUACCAUGAGAGCGGCGCACGGGUGCGUAACGCGUAUGCAACCUGCCUUAUACAAAGGGAUAGCCCAUGGAAACGUGGAUUAAUAUCUUAUAGGACAUUUGAAUCGCAUGGUUUAGAUGUUAAAACUACGGUGGUAUAAGAUGGGCAUGCGUCUGAUUAGGUAGUUGGUAGGGUAACGGCCUACCAAGCCGACGAUCAGUAGGGGUUCUGAGAGGAUUACCCCCCA
RNAcentral lists this ribosomal RNA (279 nucleotides) under uncultured Bacteroidota bacterium. RNAcentral's name for it is "uncultured Bacteroidetes bacterium partial 16S ribosomal RNA". It matches the Rfam family "Bacterial small subunit ribosomal RNA", at positions 28 to 310 of the family's 1533-position model. Lineage: Bacteria; Pseudomonadati; Bacteroidota. The record is from RNAcentral.